GUCCCAUUUCGCUUUCCUUAAUAGAAAUGGAUUAGGCGUACGAUAUCGUUUUCCUUGGAACCCAAAAUUUUCUUCAAAUUGACUGCUGCUUUCAAUAGGUACAAUUGUACCUAUUGAAAGCAGCAAUUUUAAACGUUCAAACAUUUUAAUCAUUCCAAAAUCCAAAAAUUCCAUGGGCCGGUGCAUGGUUUAUUCUCAACAUCUAUGACAUUUUGGCCACAACCACAACAUAAAAUAGUGCAGCCGGAUGCAAGCAGCGGCUGCAAAGGAAAAGAUGGUUUCAUAGGUAGAAGCAGAUAAAACGACCUCUAGUGUUCAGGCCUAACACUUUUCAUUGGAAUAUUUCUAUUUUGUUUUUCGUCGUAACUUUUGGUGGUGGGGGGUAACUAUUUUGGAUUAGGAUGGAAUAGAGAGGAUUAUUCUUCCAAUAACAAAAUACGCCUUUAGUUAACACGAUA
RNAcentral lists this long non-coding RNA (458 nucleotides) under Olea europaea subsp. europaea. The record is from RNAcentral. Lineage: Eukaryota; Viridiplantae; Streptophyta; Magnoliopsida; Lamiales; Oleaceae.